This 408-nucleotide ribosomal RNA is filed under the name uncultured bacterium. Its description in RNAcentral is "partial 16S ribosomal RNA". It matches the Rfam family "Bacterial small subunit ribosomal RNA", at positions 28 to 526 of the family's 1533-position model. The record is from RNAcentral.
GACGAACGCUGGCGGCGUGCUUAACACAUGCAAGUCGAACGAAGUGGCGAACGGGUGAGUAACGCGUAAUCAACCUGCCCUUCAGAGGGGGACAACAGUUGGAAACGACUGCUAAUACCGCAUACUGAAGGAGGGGAUGGCGUCUGAUUGGCUAGUUGGGGGGGGAACGGCUAACCAAGGCGAUGAUCAGUAGCCGGUCUGAGAGGGUGACCGGCCACAUUGGGACUGAGGCACGGCCCCGACUCCUACGGGAGGCAGGAGGGGGGAAUCCUCCGAAAUGGGCGGAAGUCUGACGGAGCAACGCCGCGGGAGUGAUGACGGCCUUCGGGUUGUAAAGCUCUGUUAAUCGGGACGCGUUACCGGAAUAGAAAGCCACGGCUAACUACGUGCCAGCAGCCGCGGUAAUUC